GAUGAACGCUGGCGGCGUGCUUAACACAUGCAAGUCGAACGGAAAGGCUCCUGCUUGCAGGGGUACUCGAGUGGCGAACGGGUGAGUAACACGUGGGUGAUCUGCCCUGCACUUCGGGAUAAGCCUGGGAAACUGGGUCUAAUACCGGAUAGGACGAUGGUUUGGAUGCCAUUGUGGAAAGAUGUUCGGUGUGGGAUGAGCUCGCGGCCUAUCAGCUUGUUGGUGGGGUAAUGGCCUACCAAGGCGUCGACGGGUAGCCGGCCUGGGAGGGUGUACGGCCACAUUGGGACUGAGAUACGGCCCAGACUCCUACGGGAGGCAGCAGUGGGGAGUAUUGCACAGUGGGCGCAAGCCUGAUGCAGCGACGCCGCGUGGGGGAUGACGGCCUUCGGGUUGUAAACUCCUUUCGCUAGGGACGAAGCGCAAGUGACGGUACCUGGAGAAGAAGCACCGGCUAACUACGUG
This 465-nucleotide ribosomal RNA is filed under the name uncultured bacterium. Its description in RNAcentral is "partial 16S ribosomal RNA". It matches the Rfam family "Bacterial small subunit ribosomal RNA", at positions 28 to 507 of the family's 1533-position model. The record is from RNAcentral.